RNAcentral lists this transfer RNA (74 nucleotides) under Mariniblastus sp. Its description in RNAcentral is "tRNA-Met". It matches the Rfam family "tRNA". Rfam says of the family: Transfer RNA (tRNA) molecules are approximately 80 nucleotides in length. Their secondary structure includes four short double-helical elements and three loops (D, anti-codon, and T loops). The record is from RNAcentral. Lineage: Bacteria; Pseudomonadati; Planctomycetota; Planctomycetia; Pirellulales; Pirellulaceae.
GGCGAUGUAGCUCAGUUGGUUAGAGCAGCGGAAUCAUAAUCCGCGUGUCGGGGGUUCGAAUCCCUCCAUCGCUA